AUGGGGGAGCUUUGUGUCUGGUAAGUAGUGUUGUCUCGUUGUCGUUGUCGCGGCGUCUUUUUUGAAACCUCCUUUUUCUUGUUCUUGUCCUCGUUUGUGUCCACUUGUCUUAGUAGCCUGGGUGGCCUCCCAAAAGUUUCGCGUCUUAUGCGGAUUAAUUCGGCCCGGAAUUUUUAUAAUACCGGGCGAACCGUACGGACGGAUUCUUGAGGGGAGGUGGGUGAAAAUCACCACGCUGCCUUGUAGCGAGCGAACUAGCACCCCGUCCGUCGGGCGAAAGGGAAUCUGGUUCCUAUUCCAGAACCCGGUUGCGGAACCGCACUCACGAUCCUCGUAUUGACACGGUAACGUGAAAGACCCCAGAGAAGCCGUCUGGAGCCCCGGGAAGAGUUUUCUUUUCUGCCUGAGCGUUCGGGUUCCAUGGAAUCCUCUAGCAGGGAGAUAUGGAAUGGAGCGCGAAGAGCACCGCAGUUGCUGCGGUGUCCGGGGAGUCCCGUCGGUCCUUGAAAAUCUGGGUGAGGGUCACGUGGAGGCGCCGCAGCCGGCUCGUACCCAUAUCCGCAGCAU
Molecule: ribosomal RNA, 567 nt
Filed under: Metamonius sp. BYU IGCEP079
Lineage: Eukaryota; Metazoa; Arthropoda; Insecta; Ephemeroptera; Nesameletidae
Description: partial 28S ribosomal RNA
Rfam family: Eukaryotic large subunit ribosomal RNA
Source: RNAcentral